AAAUUGUUGCAGUUAAAAGCUCGUAGUUGAAUUUCUGCUACAUUGCCUAUUCUCCUUUACGAGUUUGGGUCUUUUGUGGCUUAUCUGGGUUCGCUUGCGUUCCCGGUGUUUUACUUUGAGAAAAUUAGAGUGCUCAAAGCAGGCUUUUGCCUUGAAUAGUUUAGCAUGGAAUAAUAAAGUAGGACUUUGGUUCUAUUUUGUUGGUUUUAGGUACCAAAGUAAUGGUUAAUAGGAACAGUUGGGGGCAUUCGUAUUUAACUGUCAGAGGUGAAAUUCUUAGAUUUGUUAAAGAC
This 293-nucleotide ribosomal RNA is filed under the name Theileria velifera. Its description in RNAcentral is "partial small subunit ribosomal RNA". It matches the Rfam family "Eukaryotic small subunit ribosomal RNA", at positions 607 to 936 of the family's 1831-position model. Lineage: Eukaryota; Apicomplexa; Aconoidasida; Piroplasmida; Theileriidae. The record is from RNAcentral.